UAGAAGUUUAUAGCUAUGAAUUCUAGAUAA
RNAcentral lists this non-coding RNA (30 nucleotides) under Rattus norvegicus (Norway rat). The record is from RNAcentral. Lineage: Eukaryota; Metazoa; Chordata; Mammalia; Rodentia; Muridae.